AUGACAAGGCCAAGAUAUAACA
RNAcentral lists this microRNA (22 nucleotides) under Arabidopsis thaliana (thale cress). RNAcentral's name for it is "ath-miR5024-5p". Lineage: Eukaryota; Viridiplantae; Streptophyta; Magnoliopsida; Brassicales; Brassicaceae. The record is from miRBase by way of RNAcentral.